Helianthus annuus (common sunflower) is the source of this 658-nucleotide long non-coding RNA. RefSeq lists it as uncharacterized. The record is from RefSeq and is a predicted model, not a curated record. Lineage: Eukaryota; Viridiplantae; Streptophyta; Magnoliopsida; Asterales; Asteraceae. The transcript has 2 exons.
AAACUCUGUCUUCUCUCUCUCUCUUCUCUCCCUCUCACUCUCUCUAACCCUUGUCUCUCUCUCUCUAAUGCGGUGGUGAAGGCCGAUGACGGAGAUGCAGGUGACGGAAACCCUUGUCACUCCGUCUUCUCCGGCGACAUGUACAGGGUAAAUCGCUCCGUCUUCUCCGGCGACAUCACAUACCGAAGGUCCUCCGUCUUCUCCGGCGACAUCACAUACCGAAGGUCCUCAAUUCAACGGUUGGGGUUAGGGUUUCAGUGAGGGUGGUGAUGGUGGAGACGGCGGUGAAAGGGUGGUGAUGGUGGAGACGGUGAAAGGGUGGUGGGUUUAAUGGUGUUUGUUGCAAUUUGGGUCAAAAAAUUGAUUUAGAACAGGCAAGAACGAAACGUGACCGUGUGGUUCAAAAGUAAAAGCAUGAAAAGCUUUGGUGGCUGAAAUGAAGGAGGCAGCAUGAUUGCAGUCUACUUCGAAAUGGAUUAAUUUUGUUUUCUAUUCACCGUUAGUUGUGCCGAUUUAUUUUUCAAGCAUCUUUUUAGUUUAAUGUUAAAAGUGGAGUAUGAAGAUCAAUCUGAUAUGUGAUGUUGGUAAAAAUGAAAUUGAUACUUACUUUUGAUGUUAGAGAUAAUUUCCUUUUGAUGUUAAAGAUCAAUUUGAGUGA